UAGAGAGAUAACGCUUUUCGAUAUAAGGAAAGGCCAACUUCAUCGUAGUAGCACCAGCUUUUUAUAGUAAAAAAUUUUAAGGUCGAGAUCAUGUACCAGAAAAGAAUGGAAAAAUAAAAAAAUAGGAUAUAAAAAUUAGAUUACUCUUGGGACAUUACAUAUAAAGAACAAAGCAUAAAAUAGAUACCAAGUCUGGUCGAUAAAGAACGCAAGGAUUUCUUUGGACGGAGACCUAUAUGUCUUGUAAAUGAGUGCUUUAAUAGCAUCCAAGGUGUCAUUUGUUUUUGCCUUUAAACUAAACCAAAAUGUCGCUUCGACAGAGUGUGAAAUUCUGUCAAAGGUAUUUACGAGAGCCACAACUUCUUCUGGUCUUAAGUCACUUAAUUGAGUUUCAGGCUCCAAAAGUAAUUUAAGGGCCGUGCCAUAACCUGUGAUUUGAACUUUUCCCCAAAGUCUACAUUUGUCGCAGCCAACACAAUCCAUUAUGCGAGAAAUAUCACGGAAAUGUUUGCGAAAGCUAUCCUUAAAUCUCUUAGCCUCUUCAUCGGCAAAGAACUGCUCGCGAUUUAUAACAUGACGAUCCUGGUAAGCGUGAUAAACCAACUGUUCAAAUGCUGUGUGAGUACGCCAAUCAACAUCUUUAUCAGUAGGACAAAAGGUAAAAGAACUGUCGCUAGUAAUGUUUUUCAUUUGGGUUGCAAUUUGAACAAGCGCUUGAUGUAACAACGCGUAAUUGAAAAAAAUAUUUUCAAUGCGAUCGGGAAAACUGCCAACCUUGGCGCGCCACCAAUCCAAAUUUUGGGUCCAACGUUGCUCUUCGACAUCAUAAUAAUUUUGACAAACAUGAGUUGAUAUGCUAGCAUGAAAUCCUGAAAUUAUUCUGUUAAACAUACGCUUUUCUAGGCAAGCAACAGAUGGAGAUAAAGAAGUGUCAUCAUGGUUCUCCGUGAACAAGUUCAAAGGUAUUUGAUUUGGUCUAAAAAGAGCAUUACUUUUAGGUUGUUCAGAUGGAUUAUCGUCGUCGUCAACCACAAAACAGUUUUGCUCGUAAAUGCUUCGCCAAAUCGCAGCUGAAUGAUCACCAGCAUAUCCAGUAAAUCUUUCUGGGUUUUGCACAAGGGAUACAUACACGUAUUCAUCGGGAGAAGUGGAAUUAUCAAGGUAGCAGUAAUCCAAGUCAGGAUUAUAUUUCCAAUUGCAUUUUGUAUCAUUUUUCUUAGAAUGGGGUUCAAAAUCACUGAGCUUUUUCCAUACUUUGGGUAUUUCAAUCUCAUUCAAUGAUUUAACUGCGCAACCUUGGUUACUACACAUUGCGUUGUCAUUUUCCCAUAAAGGGCAGCUUGAUCUAUAGAGAUUUACUCUGUAGUAUGAAAAGUAAUCACUACGCUCAGUUAAGACAGGUACUAAUGAGCGAACUUUGGAUUGCAUUUGAUAAAUGCCUGUAGAACUAGUGUCUGUUUGAGAGAUUAUUAUCUCCGGAAGCAACAAAAAAUUCCAAAUGGCAUUCCAAAUAGAAAUGAGCUUUGUAAUUCCAAUCAUUGCAAUAUUUUUCUCUGUCACUAAAUUAUUUUUUAAAAGAAAUUCUGGUUAUAUUUUAUUUUUUUAACGAUUUUGUAUUGAAUUCUAAGGAUUUGUGUAGUACUCGUACUACCGCGAGUAUUGGAGAAGGACAAAGAAGGAAUUGAUAAAUAUACUGCGACCUCAUAUCCUUAAAUUGUGCUUAGCUAAUGCAAUAGAGUAUGUUUUACUUUAAAGCUUUUUAUGUUUUUCUAGAAAAUUAAGCACGGAAACUCGUCAAUACUUCCUUAUGCUUAUCAACGCUAUAUAUUUUAGAAUUUGUGCAAUACGAAUAAUAGUUGAAAAUAUUCUUGAAAAAUAUACAUCGCCACCGGCAUAUGCAAUAUAUUUUAAGGCGCUCUGCUAAACUAGUAUUUCUAAAGCAAAAGCAAAUUUUUAUCACACAUGUGCUGAAUUUAUUAUUAUACCUGAAUUAGAUAUUUGAGUUUGAGAGCUGUAAAUUCCGGUCGUAAACACUGAACAUAAACCAGGUAGAAAAUUCAUCAUCAAUUGGAACGAUUCUUUGAUGUUACAUUUACAAGCAUCGAAAAAUUAUUAUCAAACAUGUUAGCUAACUCCACUAUUAUAUAUCGAAGAGAGUUUUUGAAAGAAAA
Schizosaccharomyces pombe (fission yeast) is the source of this 2171-nucleotide non-coding RNA. The record is from the annotation of a GenBank genome assembly. Lineage: Eukaryota; Fungi; Ascomycota; Schizosaccharomycetes; Schizosaccharomycetales; Schizosaccharomycetaceae.